UUCCGCCAGGAGCAUCGCUGGGUAGCUAUGUGUGGCAGGGAUAAACGCUGAAAGCAUCUAAGCGUGAAGCCCCCCUCAAGAUGAGAUUUCCCAUUUCUUCGGAAAGUAAGAUCCCUGAAAGAUGAUCAGGUAGAUAGGUUUGGAGUGGAAGUGUAGCGAUACAUGGAGCGGACAAAUACUAAUCGAUCGAGGACUUAACCAAAA
RNAcentral lists this ribosomal RNA (204 nucleotides) under Escherichia coli. RNAcentral describes it as "partial 23S ribosomal RNA". It matches the Rfam family "Bacterial large subunit ribosomal RNA", at positions 2724 to 2925 of the family's 2925-position model. RNAcentral also lists the same sequence under 1 other name. The record is from RNAcentral. Lineage: Bacteria; Pseudomonadati; Pseudomonadota; Gammaproteobacteria; Enterobacterales; Enterobacteriaceae.